AUUAAAAUUAAUUUCACGACGCUGCCCGAUUUGUUCUGCGCAUGUUUAAUGUUUCACGACACACGUCAGGUUUGAAUUGUAGUUGUGAGUAAUUUUUGUGUUGACGUUUAUCUCCGUGUGUAAGUGGACGUCUUACUGGAAAAGAUGACAACUUUUGAAUUGUAUAACGUCUUGGAAGAAUAUUUGUCGCAUGAAAAUUUUAACUCCAUUCGAAUGAAGAGGGAGCGAAAUGAAAUGCGAUGUAUGUCUGUGAACUUUAUAAUGGAUACGUAUAGCUUUUUGAUGCCUGGUGGUAACCAGCUUUCCAAGUGGCUGAACAGAUGCCAGUGUACCCAAAUUCUGAGACACAACUGGAUGUCCUUUUCUUCUACUUUUUAAGAUUUCCAAUUCGAGAUGAUGUGCAGUUCAUGUUAGAUUUGCAAUUUCUACAGUUACAGUGAAGUAGAAGAGUCCAGUCGUGUUAUGGGGCAGCAGUUAAACAAGAAGGAAGGAGAGAUGUGUGCCAUGUUGAAGUAGCAGCUGCCCCUCUGACCGGCACUUCUAGAAUCCUCCAUCUAAACCUCUGCUCUGAUCUGCUGUGCCUUUGCCAAGUGAUCACGAGUUUAUUGCAAUGGUGCCCCCCAGCGUCUCCACCGUCUGUUACAUCAACUCCAACUGCCUGUGAUAGAAGAAAAGUUCACAAGACGUCCUAAAAUGGAAUUGUGAUUGGAGUGAGAUGGCCACAAUUAUGUAUGCUGGGAUGUGCAGAAGGGGCUGUGUGGGCUUUGGCUUGGGACCCCCAGAAAUUUAUUAUCUCCAGUAUCCUUGAAGGCUACAAGUUUGUCUUUGUCCCCGACCAUUUUACCAGGCAGUGUAUUUAUUACAAAGGACAAGGACCCCUCCAUUUGCUUCUUAUUUACUUUUAUAAUGCCUUCAAUUUUGUUUGUAACUGUAUAUUUUUGUAGAGCAAUUUGAGCAACACUUGUAAGCAAAAGUGAUAUAGAAAUAUUAUUAGUGAACAAAUGUUAAGGGACAGAUCAGGAAAAAUAUCAGUUUAAAUAGAACACAUUU
This is a long non-coding RNA of Erpetoichthys calabaricus (reedfish), 1050 nucleotides long. RefSeq lists it as uncharacterized. The transcript is spliced from 4 exons. Lineage: Eukaryota; Metazoa; Chordata; Cladistia; Polypteriformes; Polypteridae. The record is from RefSeq and is a predicted model, not a curated record.